UUUUAUCAAAAUUUCAAGUUAGUGUUGCUGUAACUUUAUGAAGAUAUUUCUCAAGUUAAAAGAGGAUCUAACUAGAUGAAAUAUUAAAUUUAGCGAAGCAGCUACCCUGGUCACUAGUAAUGACUGGUAACCAAAGUUGAUCGACCAGUACUGAGGGCAUAUCAUCUCUUACAUUGUAGACUGCUCCCUAAGGAAAUAAGAUGCAAAAGGAUAAUCAGGCAAUUGUUUAUAUACUAAGCAGCUACAUGUACACAAAACAGUAGUCUCAACUCCAUCAAGCAGCACCUUGAAAGCCACAUCAUUUUUAAAUUAAUAAGUAACAAAACAUAGACUAUAGAAAGCACUGCUUGCAAGCAGAUUGCUGGAUACAUGCCUUAUAACUUGGGACUUAGCAGAUGCUUUGAAGGGGAUUUUAUGCACGUGUAUCACAAGAAAUGUAAUGCUCACAGUGGUCAUUACCUCUUUAUGGUGUCCAGACUAUAACCUAGAUAGGGAUACACUUUGAUCCAGUAGUAGUCUUGAAAAGGAAGAGACCCACCCAUUGGAUUAUGCCGAAGAUAUGCAAUGCCUGAUAGAAGUGUCUUGGAGUGUAAUAGAUGGUAGUUAAGUUAGUUUUAGGUUGCAUAUAAUGAAUGCUCAACAAUUCUUAAUUCAAGACCAAUUUAUUUGUGUGGUAAAAUAAAAUUCUGGUAAUUGUUCACAACAAAGUUUACACUCUGGAAAAACAAUUAUGUAGCUCUUGCAAAAGGCUCUGUAAUUAAACUGCCAUGGUGAGAAAAUAUACAUACUGGGUUCAUGUCAGCAAACUGUAGCGGCAUGUCUAGGUUGAGUGAGAGUUAUAAUAAUGACUGUUAAAAGCAGCAAAAUUAAUGUUAUUUCCUUAUGGAGAGAAGUUGUUGGUUGGCUGGAAACAAGGUGCUAGAGCAUGGAAUGUGUUCCUUCUGUGUACAACUAAGUGCACUCAAAGUAUGCAGAUAAACUUCAACUUCGGACUUUUGCCAUUCUUGUGGUGGUGGGGUUCUGAUGAACAGGAAAAGAUUAAAAAAAUUCUGGCUGUUAGUGAACUGGGAAGAAAAGGAUCCUCUUGACAUUGCUGAGCAGAUUUAACUAAUUUGAGGAAAAUGAAGAAAGGUAAGCUCUUAGUCAAUAGAAGUCAUUGUCAUUGUGGUAAGAAAUGCAUAUUGUAGGCUUCUUGCACUUCUGACUUGACUUGAUUGCUACUAUGCAAAUUUUUGGAUAGUAGCUGAAAAUUUAUGCAGUAAAGAAAGCUGGUUUUCAGCAACUCCAGUUAGACAUUCUUGAAUGGAAUAGCAGUAAAACUUAUUUGUCUAGAAGGUUAGCAGGACUGUACAUAACCAUUGUUGCUGUUAUAUAGAAGUGGUUUACAACUCUGGUCACCAAUUAGUCGUGAUAGCUGGUUGUUGACUUCAAUGGGUGCCCAGUACUUGAUACAUCUACAUAUUUGUUGUAGGUCACCAGUUGUUGUUAUGUGUAGUAGAUGGGAUGGUCGUGGCUGUAGUGCUUUUGAUCAUAUGUCUGCCGUAGCAGAGCUGACCUGGGCUAAACAACAGAUCUAUCUUCUGCUAGGCAUUGACUUGCUAGAAAUAGGAGCCAAACUUCAUCAAAUCUCAUCCUACCAUCUUGACAAAAAGAUGUAUUGAAACAUGCAGUCCUUAAUAUACAAAAGGAUGAAAUGGGAUGAUGAGUACUAGACUGCUUUUCCAAUAAAGAUUUGCAAACUCACGAACAAUGGAAAGAUGUCUGCCUUUUCAUCUUUGACAGCAUGUAAAAAAAUAAUCAAAUGGGCAUAGUUGCACAUCCUAGAAAUAGCAGCUAAAUCUUCAAAUAUCUAAUUGUCGACUGCAAAGACCUGACAAAUAAUGUGAGUUCAUGGCUGCUUCCUGCACCUGUUUCGCAUAGCCCCAGCCCAUCCAAAGUACCUUGGAUUGCAGAACAACCUGCUGUGCUUGAGGAGACCAAUUGAGUCAAGUACAUCAAUAUCAAAUGGAAAUUGUAGUUGAGAUACCUGUGCUGGUGGCAUGUAAACAGCACCAUCUGAACGUGGCCGAUGCCAGUGCCGCCCUGAUUGGCUUCUGUGCCGGUGGCACGUAAAAAGCACCAACUGAUCAUGGCCGCUGCCAGCCUCAGGUGGCACGUUAAAAGCACUCACAGAUUGGUUGGCAUUAGGAAAGGCAUCCAGCUGUAGAAACACUGCCAGAUUAGACUGGAGCCUGGUGCAGCCUCCUUGCUUCCCAGACCCCGGUCGAACCGUCCAACCUGUGCUAGCAUGGAAAACGGACGUUAAACAAUGAUGAUGAUGAAUAUUGGUUAGUUCAGUUUUUAAAUCCACUUGUACCUCAGCUUUUUGGAGUUUUGUGGUUGGUUUCUAAAUCUGAUUCCAGCAAUAUACUUAAAAAGUGUGGAUUUGAUAACUAUAUUAGCAAGUCUAUGUUGUAAAUUCCCAUGUUUUUGGAUUAUGUUGAUCAGAGUAUGUGAGUAAUAAUUCCAUCUACUCAGAAUAUACUGUUGUUAGAUGUCACACAGCCUGUGAGAAAAACACUCUCUUUGGGUACAGAUUAAAGUUGUCUAAAAUAGUUCAAUUAUGACAGCACUCUUUAGUGAACAGUGGUGUGACCAAGUUCAUGUAAUAUGUUGGCUUCAUUUCACUUAUAUUACUAAUGUACUUGGAAAAGACAGGAACUUCACUGGUAAUAUAUGUAUAAGUUCUCUUUAUAUGGAGUAUAAAAAACAAUAUUUUAUGGUUUUGUCUUGAUAAGAGAUACUACUGAUUGCAAAUAGGUAGAAAAUACAGAGUAGAUAUUUUCCAGCCUUAUUUCCUUUCAGCUUGAAAUAAUAAUCCUUUCUACUAUAGGUACAAGGCCUGAAACUUUAAGGGAAUGGGGCCCGACCAGCAGAAUACAAAAAGUGGAAGAGCAAAAUGCUCCAGUUAGGUCAGACAAUCAUGGAUGGAAGCUAAUGUGGGCAUUCACCACUUCAGAUAACCUUUCAAGAUUCCUCUCAGCUUUUCUUGGUAAGGCAGGCCAUUCUGCUCAUCUCAUCCCUGUUCCUCUUUGGAGAUCUGGACCAAACUAGAACCUUAGCAAUUUCAUUAGUCUAUUUGUACAGAAUGGUUUCAAAUUUUUACACAAGGUCCAGCAAUUUUGAGGGGAGGUGAGUUGAUUACAUUGCUCCAGUGCUCAACUGGUACUUUAUUUAACUGACUCCAGAAGGAUGAAAAGUAGAUGGUGGGAUUGGAACUCAGAACAUAAAGAGCUGGAAGAAAAGCUAUUAAGCAUUUUGUCUGGCAUACUAAUGAUUCUAAAACAGGUUUCUUUCUGACUUGACAAAAAGAUAUGUCUUAGUGCAAGUGUUAAUAUGUAAUUGCAUGAUACUUGUACCUUUUGCAAAAGCAACAAAAGUAAAGUGAACUAACAUCAACUAAGAAUUGGAACCAGUUCAUCAAGAGUUUUACCUUUUUGUCUCAGGUGUUCUUAAAGAAAUAAUUCCUCAGUUUCCUUCAAAGCAAAAAAAAAAACAAAAACAAAAAAAAAACAA
This 3555-nucleotide long non-coding RNA is filed under the name Octopus vulgaris (common octopus). Lineage: Eukaryota; Metazoa; Mollusca; Cephalopoda; Octopoda; Octopodidae. The record is from RNAcentral.